This 216-nucleotide ribosomal RNA is filed under the name Glomeromycotina sp. RNAcentral describes it as "partial small subunit ribosomal RNA". The stretch from base 47 to 216 matches the Rfam family "Eukaryotic small subunit ribosomal RNA", at positions 693 to 864 of the family's 1831-position model. The record is from RNAcentral. Lineage: Eukaryota; Fungi; Glomeromycota.
GGGUCAGUAGGUUGGUCGUGCCACCGGUACGUACUGGUCUCACUGGUUCCUCCUUCCUGAAGAACCGUAAUGCCAUUAAUUUGGUGUUGCGGGGAAGCAGGACUGUUACUUUGAAAAAAUUAGAGUGUUUAAAGCAAGCUAACGCUUGAAUACAUUAGCAUGGAAUAAUGAAAUAGGACGAUCGAUCCUAUUUUGUUGGUUUCUAGGAUUGACGUA